RNA transcript from Rhinopithecus roxellana (golden snub-nosed monkey), 4989 nucleotides. It is a transcript of the gene named tumor protein p73-like, with no coding region annotated. Lineage: Eukaryota; Metazoa; Chordata; Mammalia; Primates; Cercopithecidae. The record is from RefSeq and is a predicted model, not a curated record. The transcript is spliced from 11 exons.
UUCAAUUUGCUGAGCAGCACCAUGGACCAGAUGAGCAGCCGCGCGGCCUCGGCCAGCCCGUACACCCCAGAGCACACCGCCAGCGUGCCCACCCACUCACCCUACGCGCAGCCCAGCUCCACCUUCGACACCAUGUCGCCCGCGCCUGUCAUUCCCUCCAACACACGACUAUCCCGGACCCACCACUUCGAGGUCACUUUCCAGCAGUCCAGCACGGCCAAGUCAGCCACCUGGACGUACUCUCCACUCUUGAAGAAACUCUACUGCCAGAUCGCCAAGACGUGCCCCAUCCAGAUCAAGGUGUCCACCCCACCACCCCCCGGGCACCGCCAUCCGGGCCAUGCCUGUCUACAAGAAGGCGGAGCACGUGACCGACAUCGUGAGCGCUGCCCCAACCACGAGCUCGGGAGAGACUUCAACGAAGGUGAGGUCUGCCCAGCCAGCCACCUCAUCCGUGUGGAAGGCAAUAAUCUCUCGCAGUAUGUGGACGACCCUGUCACCGGCAGGCAGAGCGUCGUGGUGCCCUAUGAACCCCCUCUCCCUGCUCCCCCCGUUGUGCAGGUGGGGACAGAAUUCACCACCAUCCUGUACAAACUUCAUGUGUAACAGCAGCUGUGGGGGGGCAUGAACCGACGGCCCAUCCUCAUCAUCAUCACCCUGGAGACGCGGGAUGGGCAGGUGCUGGGCCGCCGGUCCUUUGAGGGCCGCAUCUGCGCCUGUCCUGGCCGCGACCGAAAAGCCGAUGAGGACCACUACCGGGAGCAGCAGGCCUUGAAUGAGAGCUCUACCAAGAACGGGGCUGCCAGCAAGCGCGCCUUCAAGCAGAGCCCCCCUGCCGUCCCCGCCCUGGGUCCCGGCGUGAAGAAGCGGCGGCACGGAGACGAGGACACGUACUACCUGCAGGUGCGAGGCCGGGAGAACUUCGAGAUCCUGAUGAAGCUGAAGGAGAGCCUGGAGCUGAUGGAGUUGGUGCCGCAGCCGCGGGUGGACUCCUAUCGGCAGCAGCAGCAGCUCCUACAGAGGCCGAGUCACCUACAGUCCCCAUCCUACGGGCCGGUCCUCUCGCCCAUGAACAAGGUGCACGGGGGCAUGAACAAGCUGCCCUCCGUCAAUCAGCUGGUGGGCCAGCCUCCCCCGCACAGCUCGGCAGCUACACCCAACCUGGGGCCUGUGGGCCCUGGGAUGCUCAACAACCAUGGCCACGCAGUGCCAGCCAACGGCGAGAUGAGCAGCAGCCACGGCGCCCAGUCCAUGGUCUCGGGGUCCCACUGCACUCCGCCACCCCCCUACCACGCCGACCCCAGCCUCGUCAGUUUUUUAACAGGAUUGGGGUGUCCAAACUGCAUCGAGUAUUUCACGUCCCAAGGGUUACAGAGCAUUUACCACCUGCAGAACCUGACCAUCGAGGACCUGGGGGCCCUGAAGAUCCCCGAGCAGUACCGCAUGACCAUCUGGCGGGGCCUGCAGGACCUGAAGCAGGGCCACGACUGCGGCGCCGCGCAGCAGCUGCUCCGCUCCAGCAACGCGGCCGCCAUCUCCAUCGGCGGCUCCGGGGAGCUGCAGCGCCAGCGGGUCAUGGAGGCCGUGCACUUCCGCGUGCGCCACACCAUCACCAUCCCCAACCGCGGCGGCCCCGGCGCCGGCCCCGACGAGUGGGCGGACUUCGGCUUCGACCUGCCCGACUGCAAGGCCCGCAAGCAGCCCAUCAAGGAGGAGUUCACGGAGGCCGAGAUCCACUGAGGGCCCGGCCCGGCCAGGGCUUGUGCCACCGCCCAGAGACCCAGGCCGCCGCCUCUCUCCUUUCUGUGCCCAAAACUGCCUCUGGGCGCAGGGCCUCCAGGCUGUGCCCCGGGAAAGGCAAGGUCCGGCCCAUGCCCAGGCACCUCACCCGCCCCAGGAGAGGCCCAGCCACCAGAGCCGCCUGCGGACAGCCUGAGUCACCUGCAGAACCUUCUGGAGCUGCCCUAGCGCUGGGCUUGCGGGGCAGGGGCCGGCCCACUCUCAGCCCUGCCACUGCCGCGCGUGCUCCAUGGCAGGCGUGGGUGAGGACCGCAGUGUCGGCUCUGACCUCCUCCAGGCCUCAUCCUAGAGACGCUGUCACCUGCCGACCAAGAAGGUCCUUCCAGAGGAAAGAAUCCUCUUCUCUGGUGGACUGCCAAAAAGUAUUUUGCCACAUCUUCGGUUCUGGAGCGUGGUGGGCAGCCAAGCGACUGUGUCUGAAACACCACGUACUUUCAGGGAAUGUCCCUAACUGCCUCUUGCCUGUGCCGGGGGCUGGGGACUCUCUCUGCUGGACUUGGGAGUGGCCUUUGGCCCCAGCACACUGUAUUCUGCAGGAUUGCCUCCUUCCUGCCCCUAACAACAACCAAAGUGUUGCUGAAAUUGGAGAAAACUGGGGAAGGCGCAACCCCUCCCAGGUGUGGGAAGCAUCUGGUACCGCCUCAGCCAGUGCCCCUCAGCCUGGCCACAGUCGCCUCUCCUUGGGGACCGCUGGGCAGAAAGGGACAGCCUGUCCUUAGAGGACCGGAAAUUGUCAAUAUUUGAUAAAAUGAUACCCUUUUCUACACAGUGGGUCAGCUUUUUUUUUUUUUUUUUUUAAACUUCCUUCCUCAACAUUCGCUUUCCAGCUCAACCUAGCGCCCAUGAGCCGGGCUGCCGAAGCUGAGUGAGAAGCCAGGUGGGCGGGACUUGUCCCCAGGAAGGCCGGGUGGGGAGGAAGCCUAGAGGGAACACUGGGAAGGGCAAGUUCACAGGAACGCUCUGCCGUGGGAGCAGCUCCUCCCUUGCCGCCGCCACCUUCUCUACCACUGCGAGGUCCAGAGGGCAAUACUUUCUCUUCCAAGCAGCGGCAGUCAGGGAACAGACUGAGAGGUAGGUGCGGGGGGGGGUCUAGGCCUUCGUGGAGCACCCCAGGGAGUUAGUGGGCCCCAGAGAGGCAGUGUCUGCACAGGCCCCUACUGGGGCCACCUCCAUCCACGAGGAGCAGCCUGAGCCUUGGUGGCUGGAGCUUGACGGUCCCGGAGCACAGUUCCAGGGCAAGGAACCAGAGCCCCCAGGGAGCCUCACAGGUGUGACAACGCCUUUCAUUCCAGGCAGGUGGGCCAAUGGAGAGUAGUGAGCAGCCAAGUGACUGUGUCUGAAACACCAUGUAUUUUCAGGGAAUGUCCCUAACUGCACCUUGCCUGUGCCGGGGGCUGGCGACGCUCUCUGCUGGACUUCGGAGUGGCCUCUGUUCCCAGCACACUGUAUUCUGCAGGACCGCCUCACUCACAUAAGCUGAGACACCACCCAGAGUGCAGGCUGCCUGGCCCCUUCUGAGACAGCUAGCUCCACACCCCCUGCCUAGGGUAUGUGUGGCAUCAGUUCCUAAGAGCUAGGAGCUUCCCCCACUAACAUCUCCCAGAAGCAGUUAAGCCCCCCAGGGCACGGCAAGGUUAGACACAGCCCCCAUCCCCAGAUCAGGACUCCAUCUUGCUAAGUGGCAUCACCGUCACCAGCCUCCCCUUAUUUAAAAGCAGUGACUGGUGUUGCCACAGGUGCCUGGUCUACGAAGACGCAGGCAUCCCUCUCCCACACUGUCCACCUCCCCGGGGGCCACUGACAGCACAGCUGCCUGGGUGCAUGUUUGUGGGGGCAGCAAGAACGGGGCUGCUGGCUGUCAGGGGAUCUGGCUGCAGCCAGGGCGAGAGCCUGGCCCUUCCUUCUAGCUCCUUCUAGCCGAAGGGCAGGCUCUGGCUGCUCAGCUUCUAGGGUUCCAUCUCCCUAGAAAGGUGCCCACACCCAGGGCAUCCGUCAGUAGGGGCAACAGCAGCGGACUCAGGGCUUUCCCAGGGUGGCGCAGCCACCCCAGCUGCAUGUCACCUCAACUCUCCAUCUUAUUGCCAUUUCGUAGAUGAGGAAGCUGAGGCCAGAAAGGCUAAGACCCGUGCCCCAGGCAUCACGCCCAUCUCUUGGGGGCUGAGCACUGCUACCCGAGUCCACCUCCUGAAGCCCCACUCUGCCCCAUGCUCCACUUCUAGAGCCGCAGGGGCCCAUCCCAACACUCGGGGUUCCCGAGCCCGGCACGGAUGCGCUUCAGUUCCAGGGGGUUGUUGAUUUGUUUCUUAGGCAUGUUCCCUGUCCACCCUGAGUCCAGUGAGGCUGUCCUAAGAGCCCCUGUAGUGUGCUGCUGGGGUGGGGCGGGUGGCACAGAGCAGGGACAGGCCCAGAGGCAGCUGUCACUGGAACCCCAGCCAGACGUCCAAGGAAGCCGGUCAGAACACGGAGCAGCCAGAUGGCCCCAGCCGCACCUGUACAGCAAGCCCGCACAGCCUCCUUGCGCUGGAGAAGCAGUUGUCAAAGUAAAUAGAGUCGAGACUUUGCUGUGGUUAGGAGAAAGUGCAAAUUCCCAGGAACAAGAAUCCUUUAAGCGAUGUUUUUUAUACAACCAAACAAAUCAACAAAUAAAUCUUGAAGACAGAUGGUUUUCCCAGCAGUGCAGGGGUAGGAGGGAGGCUGCUGGCACUCCUGGAGCCGAGGGGGACGGGCAGUGGUCCUGAGUCUGCUCAGAGAGGCCAGGCAGAAGGAGCUCACCAGGCAGGUCAGCUCACGUCUGUCCGAGUCACUCUGGUCAGAAACAGCGACUCUCCCCCAUUCCCCCAGUGUUCCCACCAGGCCUGGGCUGCUGGGAAGCCCUUGCUGUACCCAGGGGCCUGACUCACAGUAUCCUGGCACAGAGACACCUGUCACUCGGAACAGUCAGUGUCUCCAAAGCACAAACAUCCACUCCUCUGUUACCAGUUAAAGCACUUUAAUGCUUUAGGGUGGACACGCGACCCCAUCCGUGUGUCUGUGUGGGCUGGUGCUUCUCCGAGCAGUAUUAACGGACGCCCUCCAAUGACGUAACAACUGUUUUUGUUCAUGUAAUCUUGGGAAAAUGUGUUAUUUUUUUAGCUGUGUUUCGGUGGGGAUUUUUGUUUUUGUAACAUAAUAAAGUGUACGUUCCAAUGA